UUACGGUCAAAUCACGAUGAACACACCGGUUCUCGUUCGAUCACCGAUGUUAAGCAUCGUAGAACCAGAUCAGUACUUAUAUGGGGGACCGCUUGGGAACACCUGGUACUGUAAG
RNAcentral lists this ribosomal RNA (115 nucleotides) under Acanthosepion pharaonis. The record is from RNAcentral. Lineage: Eukaryota; Metazoa; Mollusca; Cephalopoda; Sepiida; Sepiidae.